AAAUCAAUUGAUGAGAAAAAAAACUGCAACAAUAUGAUUGGUUAGUUUGGUUAGUUCCAUUAUUCGUAGUAUUUAAGUCUCUGAUGAUU
Molecule: small nucleolar RNA, 89 nt
Organism: Cornus florida
Lineage: Eukaryota; Viridiplantae; Streptophyta; Magnoliopsida; Cornales; Cornaceae
Product: small nucleolar RNA Z199
Exons: 1
Source: RefSeq, a predicted model, not a curated record